RNAcentral lists this transfer RNA (68 nucleotides) under Georissa bangueyensis. RNAcentral's name for it is "tRNA-Ile". The record is from RNAcentral. Lineage: Eukaryota; Metazoa; Mollusca; Gastropoda; Cycloneritida; Hydrocenidae.
CAUAUUAUGCCGGGUUAAACGGGCUGUAUUGAUGCUACAGAAUAGAAGAUUUAUUGUCUUUAAUAUGA